RNAcentral lists this ribosomal RNA (540 nucleotides) under Pichia kudriavzevii. Its description in RNAcentral is "eukaryotic LSU rRNA". It matches the Rfam family "Eukaryotic large subunit ribosomal RNA", at positions 103 to 667 of the family's 3401-position model. The record is from RNAcentral. Lineage: Eukaryota; Fungi; Ascomycota; Pichiomycetes; Pichiales; Pichiaceae.
AAGAGCUCAGAUUUGAAAUCGUGCUUUGCGGCACGAGUUGUAGAUUGCAGGUUGGAGUCUGUGUGGAAGGCGGUGUCCAAGUCCCUUGGAACAGGGCGCCCAGGAGGGUGAGAGCCCCGUGGGAUGCCGGCGGAAGCAGUGAGGCCCUUCUGACGAGUCGAGUUGUUUGGGAAAAAAAGCUCCAAGCGGGUGGUAAAUUCCAUCUAAGGCUAAAUACUGGCGAGAGACCGAUAGCGAACAAGUACUGUGAAGGAAAGAUGAAAAGCACUUUGAAAAGAGAGUGAAACAGCACGUGAAAUUGUUGAAAGGGAAGGGUAUUGCGCCCGACAUGGGGAUUGCGCACCGCUGCCUCUCGUGGGCGGCGCUCUGGGCUUUCCCUGGGCCAGCAUCGGUUCUUGCUGCAGGAGAAGGGGUUCUGGAACGUGGCUCUUCGGAGUGUUAUAGCCAGGGCCAGAUGCUGCGUGCGGGGACCAGGACUGCGGCCGUGUAGGUCACGGAUGGUGGCACGCCUCCAACACCGCCCGUCUUGAAACACGGACC